RNAcentral lists this long non-coding RNA (324 nucleotides) under Nicotiana benthamiana. RNAcentral describes it as "long non-coding RNA (NBEN_LNC026051)". Lineage: Eukaryota; Viridiplantae; Streptophyta; Magnoliopsida; Solanales; Solanaceae. The record is from RNAcentral.
UUCGAGCUCGCAACUUUAAAUUGAUCAUUGCAGAAAUGAGUUAUAGUAUCUGGCUAGAAAGGAAUUCCAGGAUGUUUACUAAUGUUUCAACUCCUGUUGGGCAAUAGCUUAGAAACACUGCCUACAUUUGUCAUGUUAGAAGUCCUAGCGAGUUUAGCUUACAACUUCAACAACUUCCCUGUAAUUAGACAUAGAGGCAUAGUAUAGAAGUAGGAUAUGAGCUACUUAAGUGAUAGCCAGCUGUGUUAGCUGGACUAUAGCUUUGUAAAGGCUUAUCUUUGGUGAUUAAUAAAAAAAUUUAAUUACCAAAAAAAAAGAGCAUUU